AACUCUGAUGCAGCGAUGCCGCGUGAGUGAAGAAGGCCUUUGGGUUGUAAAGCUCUUUCGUCGGGGAAGAAAAUGACUGUACCCGAAUAAGAAGGUCCGGCUAACUUCGUGCCAGCAGCCGCGGUAAUACGAAGGGACCUAGCGUAGUUCGGAAUUACUGGGCUUAAAGAGUUCGUAGGUGGUUAAAAAAGUUGGUGGUGAAAGCCCAGAGCUUAACUCUGGAACGGCCAUCAAAACUUUUUAGCUAGAGUAUGAUAGAGGAAAGCAGAAUUUCUAGUGUAGAGGUGAAAUUCGUAGAUAUUAGAAAGAAUACCAAUUGCGAAGGCAGCUUUCUGGAUCAUUACUGACACUGAGGAACGAAAGCAUGGGUAGCGAAGAGGAUUAGAUACCCUCGUAGUCCAUGCCGUAAACGAUGUGUGUUAGAUGUUGGAAAUUUAUUUUCAGUAUCGCAGCGAAAGCAAUAAACACACCGCCUGGGGAGUACGACCGCAAGGUUAAAACUCAAAUGAAUUGACGGGGACCCGCACAAGUAGUGGAGCAUGUGGUUUAAUUCGAAGAUACGCGCAGAACCUUACCAACACUUGACAUGUUCGUCGCGACUCUAAGAGAUUAGAGUUUUCGGUUCGGCCGGACGAAACACAGGUGCUGCAUGGCUGUCGUCAGCUCGUGUCGUGAGAUGUUGGGUUAAGUCCCGCAACGAGCGCAACCCUUACUUUUAGUUGCCACCAUUUAGUUGGGCACUCUGAAAGAACUGCCAGUGAUAAGCUGGAGGAAGGUGGGGAUGACGUCAAGUCCUCAUGGCCCUUACGUGUUGGGCUACACACGUGCUACAAUGGCAUUUACAAUAGGAAGCAAGACGGCGACGUCAAGCAAAUCCU
This 878-nucleotide ribosomal RNA is filed under the name uncultured Alphaproteobacteria bacterium. RNAcentral's name for it is "bacterial SSU rRNA". It matches the Rfam family "Bacterial small subunit ribosomal RNA", at positions 379 to 1275 of the family's 1533-position model. The record is from RNAcentral. Lineage: Bacteria; Pseudomonadati; Pseudomonadota; Alphaproteobacteria.